RNAcentral lists this ribosomal RNA (373 nucleotides) under Trematomus hansoni (striped rockcod). Its description in RNAcentral is "partial 12S ribosomal RNA". It matches the Rfam family "Bacterial small subunit ribosomal RNA", at positions 799 to 1374 of the family's 1533-position model. Lineage: Eukaryota; Metazoa; Chordata; Actinopteri; Perciformes; Nototheniidae. The record is from RNAcentral.
GCCGUAAACAUUGAUAGGUUAAUACAACCCCUAUCCGCCCGGGAACUACAAGCACAAGCUUGAAACCCAAAGGACUUGGCGGUGCUUUAGAUCCUCCUAGAGGAGCCUGUUCUAGAACCGAUAACCCCCGUUCAACCUCACCUUUCCUUGUUUUUCCCGCCUAUAUACCGCCGUCGUCAGCCCACCCCGUGAGGGCUAAAAAGUAGGCUUAAUUGGCAUAACCCAAUACGUCAGGCCGAGGUGUAGCGUAUGGAAGGGGAAGAAAUGGGCUACAUUCCCUAUUUUAGGGCACACGAAUGAUGUGCUGAAACGCAUAUCUUGAAGGAGGAUUUAGCAGUAAGCAGGAAGUAGAGCGUUCUGCUGAAAUUGGCUC